This 496-nucleotide ribosomal RNA is filed under the name Ambispora leptoticha. RNAcentral's name for it is "SSU rRNA". It matches the Rfam family "Eukaryotic small subunit ribosomal RNA", at positions 615 to 1113 of the family's 1831-position model. Lineage: Eukaryota; Fungi; Glomeromycota; Glomeromycetes; Archaeosporales; Ambisporaceae. The record is from RNAcentral.
GCAGUUAAAAAGCUCGUAGUUGAAUUUUGGGUCUGGCCGGGCGGUCCACCUUCUGGUGAGCACUGUUCCGACGCCGGGCCUAUCCUUCUGGUGAGACGGCAUGCCCUUCGCUGGGUGUGUCGGGGAACCAGGACCAUUACCUUGAAAAAAUUAGAGUGUUCAAAGCAGGCAUUUGCUCGAAUACAUUAGCAUGGAAUAAUGAAAUAGGACGCGUGGUACUAUUUUGUUGGUUUCUAGGACCGCCGUAAUGAUUAAUAGGGAUAGUUGGGGGCAUUAGUAUUCAAUUGUCAGAGGUGAAAUUCUUGGAUUUAUUGAAGACUAACUUCUGCGAAAGCAUUUGCCAAGGAUGUUUUCAUUAAUCAAGAACGAAAGUUAGGGGAUCGAAGACGAUCAGAUACCGUCGUAGUCUUAACCAUAAACUAUGCCGACUAGGAAUCGGGCGAUGUUAUUUUAACGACUCGCCCGGCGCCUUAUGGNAAACCAAAGUUUUUGGNUU